Molecule: ribosomal RNA, 301 nt
Filed under: uncultured bacterium
Lineage: Bacteria
Description: partial 16S ribosomal RNA
Rfam family: Bacterial small subunit ribosomal RNA
Source: RNAcentral
CAGCAGCCGCGGGAAUACGUAGGGUGCAAGCGUUAAUCGGAAUUACUGGGCGUAAAGCGUGCGCAGGCGGUUAUAUAAGACAGAUGUGAAAUCCCCGGGCUCAACCUGGGAACUGCAUUUGUGACUGUAUAGCUAGAGUACGGCAGAGGGGGAUGGAAUUCAGCGUGUAGCAGUGAAAUGCGUAGAUAUGCGGAGGAACACCGAUGGCGAAGGCAAUCCCCUGGGCCUGUACUGACGCUCAUGCACGAAAGCGUGGGGAGCAAACAGGAUUAGAUACCCCAGUAGUCCCUGUCUCUUAUAC